Molecule: ribosomal RNA, 164 nt
Filed under: Coelogyne gardneriana
Lineage: Eukaryota; Viridiplantae; Streptophyta; Magnoliopsida; Asparagales; Orchidaceae
Description: Neogyna gardneriana 5.8S ribosomal RNA
Rfam family: 5.8S ribosomal RNA
About the family: 5.8S ribosomal RNA (5.8S rRNA) is a component of the large subunit of the eukaryotic ribosome.
Source: RNAcentral
AAAAUGACUCUCGGCAAUGGAUAUCUCGGCUCUCGCAUCGAUGAAGAGCGCAGCGAAAUGCGAUACGUGGUGCGAAUUGCAGAAUCCCGCGAACCAUCGAGUCUUUGAACGCAAGUUGCGCCCUAGGCCAACCGGCCAAGGGCACGUCUGCCUGGGCGUCAAGC